CAUUCUAAAAACCAAAGUCAUUUAAUAGUCCUACGGGGUUUCUCUUAAAUGGCAGGAGAAUUCACAGUUACCCAAAACAGUAAUUCAAGCACGGAUCUGCUAGGCUAGCUUUUAUCAGAGUCAAAAAAAAUUACCCACUAGGGAAUUUUGCCAGACACUAAGCGAUUCAUUCAUUUGCUCCUGUGAUUUUUCACAAUAUUCUCCCCACCCCUCCUCUCUCUCUCUCAUUUGCUGAGGCUCCCAUGUGCUGGGCUCUGAGCCAGGCAUAGAGGCUACAGGGCUACGGGGAUUGUGAGAGAUACUGCGUCCUGCCCUUGCAGGAAGGACAGGGUGAAGAUGCUGCAGUGGAAAGAUCUCUGAGACUCUGCAGGCCUGCAGAAGGCCACACAGACCUGGGUUUGCAUGUAUCUUGGCAUGGCCACCUACCAGCUGGGUUAUGCUGGUGACUUCCCUGAGCCUCAGUUUCCACGUUGACACUAACAAUCCCUCAAGGUGCUAACCAGGCUGUUGGAAGGGGUACCAAAGCCAAGGCCUGGCCAAGGGUGGGAAUGCCUGUAUCCCACGACCUUCAGGCAAGUGGCCGGCUUUGCCUACAUGGCUC
Molecule: long non-coding RNA, 601 nt
Organism: Homo sapiens (human)
Lineage: Eukaryota; Metazoa; Chordata; Mammalia; Primates; Hominidae
Exons: 3
Source: RefSeq, a predicted model, not a curated record